AUACGAAGGGGGCUAGCGUUGUUCGGAAUUACUGGGCGUAAAGCGCGCGUAGGCGGAUUGGUCAGUUAGGGGUGAAAUCCCAGGGCUUAACCCUGGAACUGCCUCUAAUACUGCCAGUCUUGAGUUCGAGAGAGGUGAGUGGAAUUCCUAGUGUAGAGGUGAAAUUCGUAGAUAUUAGGAAGAACACCAGUGGCGAAGGCGGCUCACUGGCCCGAUACUGACGCUGAGGCGCGAAAGCGUGGGGAGCAAACAGAAUUAGAUACCCUAGUAGUCC
This 274-nucleotide ribosomal RNA is filed under the name uncultured bacterium. RNAcentral describes it as "partial 16S ribosomal RNA". It matches the Rfam family "Bacterial small subunit ribosomal RNA", at positions 523 to 796 of the family's 1533-position model. The record is from RNAcentral.